This 73-nucleotide transfer RNA is filed under the name Candidatus Nealsonbacteria bacterium CG02_land_8_20_14_3_00_37_10. RNAcentral's name for it is "tRNA-Glu". It matches the Rfam family "tRNA". From Rfam's summary of the family: Transfer RNA (tRNA) molecules are approximately 80 nucleotides in length. Their secondary structure includes four short double-helical elements and three loops (D, anti-codon, and T loops). Further hydrogen bonds mediate the characteristic L-shaped molecular structure. tRNAs have two regions of fundamental functional importance: the anti-codon, which is responsible for specific mRNA codon recognition, and the 3' end, to which the tRNAs corresponding amino acid is attached (by aminoacyl-tRNA synthetases). tRNAs cope with the degeneracy of the genetic code in two manners: having more than one tRNA (with a specific anti-codon) for a particular amino acid; and 'wobble' base-pairing, i.e. permitting non-standard base-pairing at the 3rd anti-codon position. RNAcentral also lists the same sequence under 1 other name. Lineage: Bacteria; Candidatus Nealsoniibacteriota. The record is from RNAcentral.
GGCCCCAUCGUCUAGCGGCUUAGGACGCAAGAUUCUCAUUCUUGUAACUCGGGUUCAAAUCCCGAUGGGGCCG